This 906-nucleotide ribosomal RNA is filed under the name uncultured bacterium. RNAcentral describes it as "bacterial SSU rRNA". It matches the Rfam family "Bacterial small subunit ribosomal RNA", at positions 505 to 1410 of the family's 1533-position model. The record is from RNAcentral.
GUGUCAGCAGCCGCGCGGUAAUACGGAAGGUCCAGGCGUUAUCCGGAUUUAUUGGGUUUAAAGGGAGCGUAGGCCGUGGAUUAAGCGUGUUGUGAAAUGUAGACGCUCAACGUCUGAAUUGCAGCGCGAACUGGUUCACUUGAGUAUGCGCAACGUAGGCGGAAUUCGUCGUGUAGCGGUGAAAUGCUUAGAUAUGACGAAGAACUCCGAUUGCGAAGGCAGCUUACGGGAGCACAACUGACGCUGAAGCUCGAAGGUGCGGGUAUCAAACAGGAUUAGAUACCCUGGUAGUCCGCACAGUAAACGCUGGAUGCCCGUUGUUAGUUCACUUAUGAAUUAGCGACCAAGCGAAAGCAUUAAGCAUCCCACCUGGGGAGUACGCCGGCAACGGUGAAACUCAAGGGAAUUGACGGGGGCCCGCACAAGCGGAGGAACAUGUGGUUUAAUUCGAUGAUACGCGAGGAACCUUACCCGGGCUUGAAUUGCAGACGCACGAUUCAGAGAUGAUGAGGCCCUUCGGGGCGUCUGUGAAGGUGCUGCAUGGUUGUCGUCAGCUCGUGCCGUGAGGUGUCGGCUUAAGUGCCAUAACGAGCGCAACCCCUUUUUUCAGUUGCCAUCAGGUGAUGCUGGGCACUCUGGGAAUACUGCCACCGUAAGGUGUGAGGAAGGUGGGGAUGACGUCAAAUCAGCACGGCCCUUACGUCCGGGGCUACACACGUGUUACAAUGGCCGGUACAGAGCGUUGGUUGUGUGCAAAUACGAUCUAAUCCUUAAAGCCGGUCCCAGUUCGGACUGGGGUCUGCAACCCGACCCCACGAAGCUGGAUUCGCUAGUAAUCGCGCAUCAGCCAUGGCGCGGUGAAUACGUUCCCGGGCCUUGCACACACCGCCCGUCAAAUCCAUAUGA